UUGAAGAGGAUUCCUAAUAACAAUAUGCCUGAACUCCAAGGACCUUGUCUUCCCAAAUAUGUUUGAUGGGGAAAAUGUGAAAGAGAACACUCAUGUUCAAGAAAGGCAGAUAGAGUGUAUUCAAGUCAUGAAAACAAGACUGUUGUGAGGUUAUGAUGGCUUCCUACCUAAUCAUGAAUACUUCCAAGAGCGUGGAGGACCACACAGGUUUGGCUGUGACACUCUCACCCUGGGAGCAGAGAGGGAGAAGUAGCCCCUGACAUCAAAAGAGACAUCCCACCUGACACUGGCCAAGUACCGCGAAGGCCCUGUGGGUCCUGGGCCUCUGCUGCAUUCUGCCGACUCUCUGCAGAUAAGGUGAUACCCAACGCACUAGAAGGCCUAACUCCAUUGAAUUUGCUGUAACUGCUGACUAGAUAGGAAACAUU
This is a long non-coding RNA of Mustela erminea (ermine), 428 nucleotides long. RefSeq lists it as uncharacterized. The record is from RefSeq and is a predicted model, not a curated record. NCBI's taxonomy places the organism in Eukaryota, Metazoa, Chordata, Mammalia, Carnivora, Mustelidae. The transcript has 3 exons.